Molecule: transfer RNA, 51 nt
Filed under: Hemiselmis andersenii
Lineage: Eukaryota; Cryptophyceae; Cryptomonadales; Hemiselmidaceae
Description: partial tRNA
Source: RNAcentral
UUAUUCGAGACAAAAAUUUCCUUUUAUAUUUUUUAUGAUUUCAAAUCCAAA